UACGUAGGGUGCGAGCGUUAAUCGGAAUCACUGGGCGUAAAGCGCACGUAGGUGGAUCGCUAAGUCAGGGGUGAAAUCCUGGAGCUCAACUCCAGAACUGCCUUUGAUACUGGCAAUCUCGAGUCCGGGAGAGGUGAGUGGAACUGCGAGUGUAGAGGUGAAAUUCGUAGAUAUUCGCAAGAACACCAGUGGCGAAGGCGGCUCACUGGCCCGGUACUGACGCUGAGGUGCGAAAGCGUGGGGAGCAAACAGG
Molecule: ribosomal RNA, 253 nt
Filed under: uncultured bacterium
Lineage: Bacteria
Description: partial 16S ribosomal RNA
Rfam family: Bacterial small subunit ribosomal RNA
Source: RNAcentral